GGCGCCGCUGCGGCGCGCGGUGGAACGGGGGUGCUUGCUCCCAGUCGUGCGCCGCUCCGCUCAAGCCGGCUCGCUCUUCCCUCUGCCCCGGUUGCCUCCCCGCUCUGCCUGCCUGGAGAGCCGGGACGGCCGGGACUACCUCCCCUCGGUUUGCGAGUAGCAUCGCCCAUGGUCCUAGAGGUGGACAUUUUCGUAUGGCUUUUACUCUGUUUGUACUUGAUUUUGCUGUACUUUGCGUUUUUCCGUUGUAUCAUUUGUACUAUGUUGAUUGUCGUAAACGACCAAUUUGAAAUGUAUCGCGUGAUUAUUUGCUAGUUUGAAUAUUCGAUGGCUCAUUGUUCGUUGGCGUAUUGUUAGAAGGCAAUUUCUGCAAUACUUCUCAGUACUCGUUUGUUGUGUGACGUGCCACCCGGCUCUAUGCCCGGCCAUGAUUCUGGAUCAUUCGCGCUGAUGGCGGCAGAGGCGGUCGUGUCGUGUCUGUGUUUGCGCGAGCGAUGGUAAGUGGCUGAGCAGUUGUAUUUCACUAUGAUGCGUUAAAAUGUGUGAUCUGUUAGCUCGUAUAGAUAUUCUGUUGUCAAUUUCAUAUAAGACGUUUCAGCGCCAAUAUGAUUAAAACCGAGACUAUGAUAUUUUGCACUGAGGUAAACGACAAUGGACCUGACUGGUGUCUGGAUUCGUAGAUAUGGCGUCGGAGAUGUGAGGCUGGCUUGGGAGGAUGCCUCUGGAUGUAUGGACGUUAGCCGCGAAGCGACCCAGAAGGCACAUUUGUCGCAACGACUGUUACUCUCGAGAUCGUGUGGGCUAUCCACUCAGCUCACUCGGUCCAAUAAACGGUCCGUUAAGA
Long non-coding RNA from Amphibalanus amphitrite, 844 nucleotides. RefSeq lists it as uncharacterized. The record is from RefSeq and is a predicted model, not a curated record. NCBI's taxonomy places the organism in Eukaryota, Metazoa, Arthropoda, Thecostraca, Balanomorpha, Balanidae. The transcript has 2 exons.